Molecule: ribosomal RNA, 2786 nt
Filed under: human gut metagenome
Description: bacterial LSU rRNA
Rfam family: Bacterial large subunit ribosomal RNA
Source: RNAcentral
AGCGUACACGGUGGAUGCCCUGGCAGUCAGAGGCGAUGAAGGACGUGCUAAUCUGCGAUAAGCGUCGGUAAGGUGAUAUGAACCGUUAUAACCGGCGAUUUCCGAAUGGGGAAACCCAGUGUGUUUCGACACACUAUCAUUAACUGAAUCCAUAGGUUAAUGAGGCGAACCGGGGGAACUGAAACAUCUAAGUACCCCGAGGAAAAGAAAUCAACCGAGAUUCCCCCAGUAGCGGCGAGCGAACGGGGAGCAGCCCAGAGCCUGAAUCAGUGUGUGUGUUAGUGGAAGCGUCUGGAAAGGCGCGCGAUACAGGGUGACAGCCCCGUACACAAAAAUGCACAUGCUGUGAGCUCGAUGAGUAGGGCGGGACACGUGGUAUCCUGUCUGAAUAUGGGGGGACCAUCCUCCAAGGCUAAAUACUCCUGACUGACCGAUAGUGAACCAGUACCGUGAGGGAAAGGCGAAAAGAACCCCGGCGAGGGGAGUGAAAAAGAACCUGAAACCGUGUACGUACAAGCAGUGGGAGCACGCUUAGGCGUGUGACUGCGUACCUUUUGUAUAAUGGGUCAGCGACUUAUAUUCUGUAGCAAGGUUAACCGAAUAGGGGAGCCGAAGGGAAACCGAGUCUUAACUGGGCGUUAAGUUGCAGGGUAUAGACCCGAAACCCGGUGAUCUAGCCAUGGGCAGGUUGAAGGUUGGGUAACACUAACUGGAGGACCGAACCGACUAAUGUUGAAAAAUUAGCGGAUGACUUGUGGCUGGGGGUGAAAGGCCAAUCAAACCGGGAGAUAGCUGGUUCUCCCCGAAAGCUAUUUAGGUAGCGCCUCGUGAAUUCAUCUCCGGGGGUAGAGCACUGUUUCGGCAAGGGGGUCAUCCCGACUUACCAACCCGAUGCAAACUGCGAAUACCGGAGAAUGUUAUCACGGGAGACACACGGCGGGUGCUAACGUCCGUCGUGAAGAGGGAAACAACCCAGACCGCCAGCUAAGGUCCCAAAGUCAUGGUUAAGUGGGAAACGAUGUGGGAAGGCCCAGACAGCCAGGAUGUUGGCUUAGAAGCAGCCAUCAUUUAAAGAAAGCGUAAUAGCUCACUGGUCGAGUCGGCCUGCGCGGAAGAUGUAACGGGGCUAAACCAUGCACCGAAGCUGCGGCAGCGACACUAUGUGUUGUUGGGUAGGGGAGCGUUCUGUAAGCCUGUGAAGGUGUGCUGUGAGGUAUGCUGGAGGUAUCAGAAGUGCGAAUGCUGACAUAAGUAACGAUAAAGCGGGUGAAAAGCCCGCUCGCCGGAAGACCAAGGGUUCCUGUCCAACGUUAAUCGGGGCAGGGUGAGUCGACCCCUAAGGCGAGGCCGAAAGGCGUAGUCGAUGGGAAACAGGUUAAUAUUCCUGUACUUGGUGUUACUGCGAAGGGGGGACGGAGAAGGCUAUGUUGGCCGGGCGACGGUUGUCCCGGUUUAAGCGUGUAGGCUGGUUUUCCAGGCAAAUCCGGAAAAUCAAGGCUGAGGCGUGAUGACGAGGCACUACGGUGCUGAAGCAACAAAUGCCCUGCUUCCAGGAAAAGCCUCUAAGCAUCAGGUAACAUCAAAUCGUACCCCAAACCGACACAGGUGGUCAGGUAGAGAAUACCAAGGCGCUUGAGAGAACUCGGGUGAAGGAACUAGGCAAAAUGGUGCCGUAACUUCGGGAGAAGGCACGCUGAUAUGUAGGUGAAGUCCCUCGCGGAUGGAGCUGAAAUCAGUCGAAGAUACCAGCUGGCUGCAACUGUUUAUUAAAAACACAGCACUGUGCAAACACGAAAGUGGACGUAUACGGUGUGACGCCUGCCCGGUGCCGGAAGGUUAAUUGAUGGGGUUAGCGCAAGCGAAGCUCUUGAUCGAAGCCCCGGUAAACGGCGGCCGUAACUAUAACGGUCCUAAGGUAGCGAAAUUCCUUGUCGGGUAAGUUCCGACCUGCACGAAUGGCGUAAUGAUGGCCAGGCUGUCUCCACCCGAGACUCAGUGAAAUUGAACUCGCUGUGAAGAUGCAGUGUACCCGCGGCAAGACGGAAAGACCCCGUGAACCUUUACUAUAGCUUGACACUGAACAUUGAGCCUUGAUGUGUAGGAUAGGUGGGAGGCUUUGAAGUGUGGACGCCAGUCUGCAUGGAGCCGACCUUGAAAUACCACCCUUUAAUGUUUGAUGUUCUAACGUUGACCCGUAAUCCGGGUUGCGGACAGUGUCUGGUGGGUAGUUUGACUGGGGCGGUCUCCUCCUAAAGAGUAACGGAGGAGCACGAAGGUUGGCUAAUCCUGGUCGGACAUCAGGAGGUUAGUGCAAUGGCAUAAGCCAGCUUGACUGCGAGCGUGACGGCGCGAGCAGGUGCGAAAGCAGGUCAUAGUGAUCCGGUGGUUCUGAAUGGAAGGGCCAUCGCUCAACGGAUAAAAGGUACUCCGGGGAUAACAGGCUGAUACCGCCCAAGAGUUCAUAUCGACGGCGGUGUUUGGCACCUCGAUGUCGGCUCAUCACAUCCUGGGGCUGAAGUAGGUCCCAAGGGUAUGGCUGUUCGCCAUUUAAAGUGGUACGCGAGCUGGGUUUAGAACGUCGUGAGACAGUUCGGUCCCUAUCUGCCGUGGGCGCUGGAGAACUGAGGGGGGCUGCUCCUAGUACGAGAGGACCGGAGUGGACGCAUCACUGGUGUUCGGGUUGUCAUGCCAAUGGCACUGCCCGGUAGCUAAAUGCGGAAGAGAUAAGUGCUGAAAGCAUCUAAGCACGAAACUUGCCCCGAGAUGAGUUCUCCCUGACUCCUUGA